AUUGAACGCUGGCGGCAGGCUUAACACAUGCAAGUCGAACGAGCGGCGGACGGGUGAGUAAUGUCUGGGAAACUGCAUGAUGGAUGGGGAUAACUACUGGAAACGGUAGCUAAUACCGCAUACCAUCAGAUGUGCCCAGAUGGGAUUAGCUAGUUGGUGGGGUAAUGGCUCACCUAGGCGACGAUCCCUAGCGGGUCUGAGAGGGUGACCAGCCAAACUGGAAAUGGGACACGGUCCAGACGCCUACGGGAGGCAGCAGUGGGGAAGAUUGCACAAGGGGCGCAAGCCUGAUGCAGCCCUGCCGCGUGUUUGAAGAAGGCCUUCGGGUUGUAAAGCACUUUCAGCGAGGAGGCGUUACUCGCAGAAGAAGCACCGGCUAACUCCGUGCCAGCAGCCGCGGUAAUUC
Molecule: ribosomal RNA, 406 nt
Filed under: uncultured bacterium
Lineage: Bacteria
Description: partial 16S ribosomal RNA
Rfam family: Bacterial small subunit ribosomal RNA
Source: RNAcentral